UACGGGGGGGGCAAGCGUUGUUCGGAAUUACUGGGCGUAAAGGGCUCGUAGGCGGCCAACUAAGUCAGACGUGAAAUCCCUCGGCUUAACCGGGGAACUGCGUCUGAUACUGGAUGGCUUGAGGUUGGGAGAGGGAUGCGGAAUUCCAGGUGUAGCGGUGAAAUGCGUAGAUAUCUGGAGGAACACCGGUGGCGAAGGCGGCAUCCUGGACCAAAUCUGACGCUGAGGAGCGAAAGCCAGGGGAGCAAACGGG
Molecule: ribosomal RNA, 253 nt
Filed under: uncultured bacterium
Lineage: Bacteria
Description: partial 16S ribosomal RNA
Rfam family: Bacterial small subunit ribosomal RNA
Source: RNAcentral